AAAGAUUUUUUGAUUCUGCUCAGGACGAACGCUGGCGGCGUGCGUAAUACAUGCAAGUUGAGCGCUGAAGGUUGGUACUUGUACCGACUGGAUGAGCAGCGAACGGGUGAGUAACGCGUGGGGAAUCUGCCUUUGAGCGGGGGACAACAUUUGGAAACGAAUGCUAAUACCGCAUAAAAACUUUAAACACAAGUUUUAAGUUUGAAAGAUGCAAUUGCAUCACUCAAAGAUGAUCCCGCGUUGUAUUAGCUAGUUGGUGAGGUAAAGGCUCACCAAGGCGAUGAUACAUAGCCGACCUGAGAGGGUGAUCGGCCACAUUGGGACUGAGACACGGCCCAAACUCCUACGGGAGGCAGCAGUAGGGAAUCUUCGGCAAUGGACGAAAGUCUGACCGAGCAACGCCGCGUGAGUGAAGAAGGUUUUCGGAUCGUAAAACUCUGUUGGUAGAGAAGAACGUUGGUGAGAGUGGAAAGCUCAUCAAGUGACGGUAACUACCCAGAAAGGGACGGCUAACUACGUGCCAGCAGCCGCGGUAAUACGUAGGUCCCGAGCGUUGUCCGGAUUUAUUGGGCGUAAAGCGAGCGCAGGUGGUUUAUUAAGUCUGGUGUAAAAGGCAGUGGCUCAACCAUUGUAUGCAUUGGAAACUGGUAGACUUGAGUGCAGGAGAGGAGAGUGGAAUUCCAUGUGUAGCGGUGAAAUGCGUAGAUAUAUGGAGGAACACCGGUGGCGAAAGCGGCUCUCUGGCCUGUAACUGACACUGAGGCUCGAAAGCGUGGGGAGCAAACAGGAUUAGAUACCCUGGUAGUCCACGCCGUAAACGAUGAGUGCUAGAUGUAGGGAGCUAUAAGUUCUCUGUAUCGCAGCUAACGCAAUAAGCACUCCG
Molecule: ribosomal RNA, 883 nt
Filed under: Lactococcus lactis
Lineage: Bacteria; Bacillati; Bacillota; Bacilli; Lactobacillales; Streptococcaceae
Description: bacterial SSU rRNA
Rfam family: Bacterial small subunit ribosomal RNA
Source: RNAcentral